CCCUUAGAUGUUCUGGGCUGCACGCGUGCUACACUGAUUAUUUCAACAAGUGUUUUAACUGGAGAGUUUGCGUAAUCCUGAAAUGUUAUCGUGAUGGGAGUAGAGUAUUGUAUUUGUUAAUCUUUAACGAGGAAUUCCUAGUAAGUGUAGGUUUAUAAGUUGUUCUGAUUACGUCCCUGCCCUUUGUACACACCGCCCGUCACUCCUACCGAUUGAUUGAUCCGGUGAAUUACAUAGAAUUUUGCGUUUUACAUGACGGAAGACGAAGUGUUUUAAACCUUAUCAUUUAGAGGAAGGAGAAGUCGUAACA
This 310-nucleotide ribosomal RNA is filed under the name uncultured eukaryote. RNAcentral's name for it is "partial 18S ribosomal RNA". It matches the Rfam family "Eukaryotic small subunit ribosomal RNA", at positions 1470 to 1796 of the family's 1831-position model. The record is from RNAcentral.